Molecule: transfer RNA, 85 nt
Filed under: Acropora cervicornis
Lineage: Eukaryota; Metazoa; Cnidaria; Anthozoa; Scleractinia; Acroporidae
Description: tRNA-Ser
Rfam family: tRNA
About the family: Transfer RNA (tRNA) molecules are approximately 80 nucleotides in length. Their secondary structure includes four short double-helical elements and three loops (D, anti-codon, and T loops).
Source: RNAcentral
GCUGUGAUGGUUAAGUGGUUGUUAAGGCGUUGGACUAGAAAUCCCAUGGGGUUUCCCCGCGUAGGUUUGGAUCCUGCUCGCAGCG